This 72-nucleotide transfer RNA is filed under the name Candidatus Colwellbacteria bacterium RIFCSPLOWO2_12_FULL_43_11. Its description in RNAcentral is "tRNA-Arg". It matches the Rfam family "tRNA". From Rfam's summary of the family: Transfer RNA (tRNA) molecules are approximately 80 nucleotides in length. Their secondary structure includes four short double-helical elements and three loops (D, anti-codon, and T loops). The record is from RNAcentral. Lineage: Bacteria; Candidatus Colwelliibacteriota.
GCCCUCGUCGUUCAAUGGAUAGGACGCCUCCCUGCGAAGGAGGAAAUCCAGGUUCGAUUCCUGGUGGGGGCA